UGCCGAAUGCACGGGUGUGGUUAGAG
This 26-nucleotide non-coding RNA is filed under the name Homo sapiens (human). Lineage: Eukaryota; Metazoa; Chordata; Mammalia; Primates; Hominidae. The record is from RNAcentral.